Molecule: long non-coding RNA, 780 nt
Organism: Glycine soja
Lineage: Eukaryota; Viridiplantae; Streptophyta; Magnoliopsida; Fabales; Fabaceae
Exons: 3
Source: RefSeq, a predicted model, not a curated record
UUAGCCUCUUCCUCAUGAAAAUUACGAUAUCUAUCCAUAGACUGCAAAAUAAAAAGAAAGUUGUUCAACAAAAUUGAGUCUUGCCUAUGUUAUUAACAUAUGUCAAGUUGAAGUCCAACCAUCCCUCCAAAGUCCAAACCCCAAUAUUUACAAAAGCAGAUGAAGAAGAGUGAUCGUGGGCACAAGAAGGGGAAAAGGACAGAGGAAAGAAGAAAGAGGAAACACUAUCCUCAAAUCCAACAACAUUGGUGUUGAAGGUGAACAUGCAUUGCGAAAGAUGUGCAUCCAGAAUAGCCAAAUGCGUUCACGGUUUCUAAGAUUCAACUCUAAUAUUUGAAAACUGUUGUAACCAUGUAACCAUUAUCCAACAAUUAUCUCCCAUACCCGUUGCACACUUGAGUUUGUUAAUGGUCAGAGCUCUAUAUAAAGUGUAUGUUGCGCUGCUCUGAUAGGUCACCGAAUCUGCUCCUCCUUUCAUAUACUAAUAUCAUCGAGUACGAGUGAACAAGGGUUUGGAACCAUAAUCAGUUACGAAGUUGCCGUGGAACAAAAUCGUCACCCCCACGAACGUUCAAAACAACAGUAGCAAUGGCCGGAGGUUGGUCAUGUCUCCUUUAGCUUUUGCUGAUCGUUUAGACCUUUUUUAUUAUGUUUUAUAUUUGGUAUCAGAGCUUGUUUGUACCUCUGCCUUGCUUCUUGGGUUGUUCCUAUUGUGCAUUUACGGAAUUGAUUUUCUGAGUAUAUGGGUGUUAUGUUUUUAGCCUCCUUAAUUCGAAAUAA